RNAcentral lists this long non-coding RNA (223 nucleotides) under Lathyrus oleraceus (garden pea). Its description in RNAcentral is "Pisum sativum (pea) long non-coding RNA (PSAT_LNC023683)". Lineage: Eukaryota; Viridiplantae; Streptophyta; Magnoliopsida; Fabales; Fabaceae. The record is from RNAcentral.
UAAGGUUGAUAGGUAGUAUAUUAUGAACAACUUUUUGUAUAUACAUUUUCGUUGCUUAGGGAUGAAUUGGAUCGGGACUUGAUGGCUUGGAUGGACCACGAAGAAACUGCAACAAGAGUCCAUCAAAUUCUUGAGAAAUCCGUUCAUCUUGCAAAGGUCUACAAUCGACUCCAAGUUGAGAACAAACGACCAUAAUAAAAAAAAUGAUUACGGUAAUGGUAAA